UAUCUUAAUCCCCAUUCAAUAUUGAGUAAUUCUAUAUUUAUAUAGAAAGUUUUAUGUUAAAACUAGUAACAAGAAGAAGACUCUUCUCUUCAAUGUAAGUGUAAAUCAGAAAGGACAAACCGCUGAUAAUUAACGUUACUGAAGCAGAAAUAGAAACUUAUCUAGAAAAAUCUACUUUUACUAACGUUAACCUAACACAAGAACAUUUAAAGAAAGAUUAAAAGAAAAAGAAGGAACUCGGCAAACAUUAACCUCGCCUGUUUACCAAAAACAUCGCCUCUUGAUUUUCUAUAAGAGGUCCAGCCUGCCCAGUGACCAUGUUCAACGGCCGCGGNAUCCUAACCGUGCAAAGGUNGCGUAAUCACUUGUUCUUUAAAUGUGGACUAGUAUGAAUGGCAUCACGAAGGUUAUACUGUCUCCUUUUUCUAAUCAGUGAAACUAAUCUCCCCGUGAAGAAGCGGGGAUAAAAUUAUAAGACGAGAAGACCCUAUGGAGCUUUAAACAACGCAGCAGUUACCAAAGAAUUUUUAAUGUUUCUGUAACACUAAUUUUACAAGUAAAAUGACUGCAAGUUUUUGGUUGGGGUGACCACGGAGUAUAUCAUAACCUCCAUGUUGAAAGAAUUUUUCUAAGCCAAGAAUUACCAAUCUAAGCAUUAACAAAUUAACAUCCAUUGACCCAAUAAAUUUGAUCAACGAACCAAGUUACCCUAGGGAUAACAGCGCAAUCCACUUCAAGAGCCCCUAUCGACAAGUGGGUUUACGACCUCGAUGUUGGAUCAGGGUAUCCCAGUGGUGCAGCCGC
RNAcentral lists this ribosomal RNA (804 nucleotides) under Rhinella granulosa (granular toad). Its description in RNAcentral is "partial 16S ribosomal RNA". It matches the Rfam family "Bacterial large subunit ribosomal RNA", at positions 1487 to 2562 of the family's 2925-position model. Lineage: Eukaryota; Metazoa; Chordata; Amphibia; Anura; Bufonidae. The record is from RNAcentral.